CCCAGCCCUACACAGGUCACACCACCCAAGCUCUGCGGCUGCAUUUCACAGGAAACCAAACCUAAACGGACGUAGGAAGAGAGUUCUGCUGAAGGACACUGCUGAACAUUGAGAAUAUUUCAACCCCCUGCCUCCUGGAUUACUGGCUCCUGGAGUUCUCCGUAAUGCCCUCACGGACCCCUCAUGCAAGGGACAUCUCAGCACAAGGCUGUUUGCACUCCCAACACUGCUCAGGCUGAGUUGAAGAUCCCUCUCAUUUGCCGGGUGCCAAGAAAGAUGAACAGACCGGGCAAUAGAAAAAUAGCCAAAGAAGGAUCCAGUGAUUUGAAAUUCCAGAACUUCGCUCUGCCGAAAAAUAGGUCAUGGCCCGGAAUCGACAGUGCCACAGGACAGUACCAGACUAUUAACGAGCCUCCUCUUGAUAGUGAAAGGAAUUCCAUAGCAGUCGUGGCUGGAGCAAAAGGCCACACAGAUGGUGACUAUGAAGACCCUGAGCUGCACAUGGGAGAAGACUGGCAAUCAGUGAAAAUCUUACCAGCCAGGCCUAUUAAGGAAUCUGAAUAUGCAGAUACACGCUAUUUCAAGGGUAUGAUGGACACACCACUGUCUUUAGAUUCCAAGACCUCUCUCCCCACAGACAGGCAAACCUGGAUGAAGCUGGAAAAAGUAAGUAAAAGCUUGACUGCAUGAACCAAACAUGGGCACUGCCUAGCAACCAAGAGCUUUACCGUCUCUCAUUUCCAAGGUGUCUUGUUGGAAUGCCUUGGUGAUGAGCAGGUCAGGCUCAGUGAGGUGCAGAGUAAUUCAGCUGGAAGGAUCGUGGUCCUUUGAAUAGGUAACUAGAAGGGAAGAGAACUAACAUUUGUGAGAGAUUUUCUGAGAGCCAGACAUCAGGCUAAGGACUUUCACCUGCAUCUCACUUAAUACUUAUCCUGUUCUCUAGGAGCAGAAUUUAAACUCAAAUCUCUUUGAUAAUAACAUAUCAUUUUGUCCAAAUUUAGGCCCAGUGAUUCCAACUGCUAAUGGUAUGGUAAUAAGCACAGUCAGCCCUCCAUAUCUGUCAGUUCCCCAUCUGUAGAUUCAAUCAAGGAUUAAAAAAAAAAUUCCAUUAAAUUUCAAGAAGCAAAACUUGAAUUUACCACAUGCCAGCAACUAUUUACAUAGCACUGACAUUGUAUUAGAUAUUACAAGUAAUCUAGAGAUAAUCCAACCAACCAAGGAUUUUGUGGUUCCUGAAUAUGUACUUGAUGAAAAAAUCUGAGUAUAAGCAGACCCACACAGUUCAAACCCAUGCCAUUAAGGGUUUCACUGUCUACAGAAGGAUAUGCAUAGGUUAUUUACAAAUAUUCUGCAAUUUCAUAUGAAAGACUUGAGCAUCCACAGAUUUGGAUAUUCAAGGAGCGUGCUGAAAGUAAUCCCUGGCAGAUAUGAAGGGACAACUGUAGGUCAACCUCUCUGAACCUCUUUCUUUAAAAACCCAUUGGCCAAACAGGAGUAACAAUCUCUGCCAUGCUUACUUCAAAAAGCUGUUGAAUAUAUCUUGUAAAUGUAAGUGCUCUAAACACAUAUAAUAUUUUGUUUUUAAUAACAUUGCACAAAAUACAAAUUAGUCAUCCCUGAGGUUGCAAGGCUAUCAGUCAUAACAUUUGGGUAAAUUUCAUGUCAAUAUUUUCUAUGCUAAUGUAUUUCAUGUAAGGAAGUCUUUGUUGUAUGGUAUAUACUGGUUUUCCCUCCUUUGCACAUUUGUUUCAGUCAUGCAACUAUCUCCCAUGUCAUAAAACAAGCAUCAAUAAGCAUAAUCUUUACAGAUACUUCACUC
Molecule: long non-coding RNA, 1819 nt
Organism: Capra hircus (goat)
Lineage: Eukaryota; Metazoa; Chordata; Mammalia; Artiodactyla; Bovidae
Source: Ensembl